RNAcentral lists this small nucleolar RNA (188 nucleotides) under Naja naja (Indian cobra). RNAcentral describes it as "Small nucleolar RNA SNORA5 (ENSNNAG00000013402.1)". It matches the Rfam family "Small nucleolar RNA SNORA5". From Rfam's summary of the family: ACA5 is a member of the H/ACA class of snoRNA that guide the sites of modification of uridines to pseudouridines. The record is from Rfam by way of RNAcentral. Lineage: Eukaryota; Metazoa; Chordata; Lepidosauria; Squamata; Elapidae.
UGCAGGAGUGUCAAAUUCAAGGCCCACCGGAUUCUUAGAUGUGGCCCACAGGCUGCCUUGGAAACAGCAAAGGACUGGCCCAUAGUGCCUCUGCCAGUGAGUUGCAGGAGGCUGUCACAGCUAAAAAUGGAGCUCAGGAGCCUGUUUUCUCUGGCAGAGUGCACGGGUACCACAGGCCCCGGACACAA